AUUGUUCAUCACUUCAAGUUGUGAAGGAUUUCUCAGGAUAUCAUCAUGAAAACUUUAAUGAUUGCCACUGUGGCUCUGCUAUCUCUCAUGGCCCUGGCCUCUUCUGCUCCUCAUCGCUCUUAUUAUCAGUUGCGGAGGCUCGUCAGCAACGCGGUAAUUAUUACUAUAUAAGACACAGAUGCAGCAGAACGAUGGCCCAAGCAACUACGUACAUGUAUUACUAUUAGGGACAAAUGCAGCAGAACGAUCGCCCAAGCAACUAUUACUAUAAGACACAGAUGCAGCAGGACGGUGGCCCAAGCAACUAUUACUAUAUAAGGCGCAGAUGCAGCAGGAUGGUGGCCCAAGCAACUAUUACUAUAAGGCACAGAUGCAGCAGGACGAUCGCCCAAGCAACUAUUACUAUAAGACACAGAUGCAGCAAGACGGUGGCCCAAGCAACUAUUACUAUAAGGCACAAAUGCAGCAGGAUGAUGGCCCAAGCUAUAAGACACAGGUGCAGCAGGACGAUCGCCUAUUGCAAGCACUAUUACUAUAAGGCACAGAUGCAGCAGGACGGUGGCCCAAUUAAGCUAUAAGACACAGAUACAGCAGGACGAUCGCCCAAGCACUAUUACUAUAAGGCACAGAUGCAGCAGAACGAUCGCCCAUGCAAGCAACUAUUACUAUAUAAGGCACAGAUGCAACAAGAUGAGCCAGGUAAGUACUUUCAACAACUCGACCAUGCAGAAUUCAUAAGAAUGUGACACUAUGCAUUAUGUUAAGUUUAAAUUUAUUAUAGCCCAUCACAUAAGAAUAAUUUACUACAGCUGAUUGGACACCAGCUGAGGUGCCCAUGUAAGUACACCUUCCACCAACUAAUGCAUGAGUGCUGCUAAGGCCACUGUUAGUUGCAUGCUUGUUUCAGAUCAACCUCCCUCCUCGUUUUGCUCACCUCCUCAAUUAAGUCAUUAUUGCUGAUGUCAGCCAUUAUUUGAGGUCAAAGUCCUUUUUUUUGCUGACAUUGCAUUAUUUUACCAUGUGCCAUGUGCAAUUGUGCACCAAAAAGCCAGUGCAUAAAAAAAAAAUUAAACUAUUGUUCAGACUCCGUCCUUUUGUGUAUUACUGUCAGUUAAAAAACAGGAUAUGACGUCAUCAAAUAAUGAGAUAAUAGGUAAUGAAGACCUCCCUCCCUCAUCGGGGUCGAGCUAGUAUUCUCAUCUGAAACAAGUAUGCAACUAACAGUGGCAUAAUACAUGAACGUGACACUAUUCAAAUUGCAUUUAACGCCUUCGUAGUUUCUCAACACCAACCACCUAAAUAUAGAAUAAAUUUCAGCUGCAGUAUAAUAGUAAUGUCAGAGCCUCCAAGUAGAGACUUUUCUUUUCAGUAUUAAUCAGCUCAUUUUUCCGUAUUUAAUUAAUGAUGAUUUUCAGUACAAAACAUGGAAAUGAGAUGAAAUGCUGUUUAGUGGCCUUGUAAUUGCCCCGCCCCUUCAAUAAAGGGGCGUGGCAAGCGAGACUUGGCUUUACAAAUUAUAGCUGUCUUUCAGUAUCAGACUCACUACUAGCCUCGAUCUCCCAGGCCGAUCCGUCUCUAAUUAAACGCUAGGUCGCCUCCUCGGCCUGGUAUUGAUUGUAUCUGGGCGUGUAUCUGGGCAUGUGCUGUGGUUGCUGUGGUUGCUCAGGUAUUCGCUAAAAAAGAGCGAAUACCUGAGCAAGGUGGAGCGAAUAGAAACACUAAUAGUGUAUGUAAGCAUACUUACUCCGUAAAAUCACCGUUAAAUCACAAAGAACUCCGUGUCAUAGGUCUAUUCUUUGCAAGUUUAGUUUGUCAUAGACAUAUUAUAUGUAGAUAUAGGCUUAGCUAGCUAGAGUGUGAGGAGCUGUCUUGUGCGAAGGAAGAAGGAGCAUCACUCUUGUGAAAGAACAGACCUAGGUUCUCAAGUUUCUGCUAUCAGUGGCUACUUUUGAUUGACUACACAAUUUAAUACAAGCGCUUGAUUAGACCAUUGAUUGCCAGAUACACUUGGUAGAGUCUAUCCUCAGACUCUGGCCAUCGAUCUCUUGUAUACUAUGCUCAGGGGUGUCCACAAGUGGCUGGGCCUGGGAUGUAUUGUCAAGCCUAUAGCCCAAUCCUUGGUAUCUGGAUCAAGAUAUGACAUUACGGCACUGGCAUUGGUGUUGUGUUAGCCUCCUUCACCGACCUUCAAGGAAGUGCGGCCUGGGAUCGUGGCUAGUUUUGUGUGGACCAUCACUGAGCAAAAUGGAACCUUCCCCUCCAACCCCCGUCGUACUCCUCCUAGCUGAUGGGUGUGAACUCAUUGAAAGAGGAUGCCCCAGUGCCACUCGUGUCCUUCCCAAGGGUCCGAUCUUAUAGAACUACCUGCACUAAAACUACUGACGUGGAAUGGCUCUUUCAACACUUGUGGUUGCUAUCCUGACCAGUGACGUCAGGAUUCUACUGUCUCUUGAUGCACUGUGAACACACAAUCUUUGUUAUGCCACCUGAAGGCGCAGUAAUUAUUAAGUCUUUCUGGAAGCUCUUGUUUGAGAUCUUCACUUCUAAACAUCUGCAUUUAUUAUGGACGCAGUACUGCUGUGCACAGUAUUAAUUUCUAGUGUCAUUAUAUCA
Halichondria panicea is the source of this 2613-nucleotide long non-coding RNA. RefSeq lists it as uncharacterized. The record is from RefSeq and is a predicted model, not a curated record. The transcript has 4 exons. NCBI's taxonomy places the organism in Eukaryota, Metazoa, Porifera, Demospongiae, Suberitida, Halichondriidae.